Molecule: ribosomal RNA, 1379 nt
Filed under: Staphylococcus aureus
Lineage: Bacteria; Bacillati; Bacillota; Bacilli; Caryophanales; Staphylococcaceae
Description: partial 23S ribosomal RNA
Rfam family: Bacterial large subunit ribosomal RNA
Source: RNAcentral
GACGGGUGAGAAUCCCGUCCACCGAUUGACUAAGGUUUCCAGAGGAAGGCUCGUCCGCUCUGGGUUAGUCGGGUCCUAAGCUGAGGCCGACAGGCGUAGGCGAUGGAUAACAGGUUGAUAUUCCUGUACCACCUAUAAUCGUUUUAAUCGAUGGGGGGACGCAGUAGGAUAGGCGAAGCGUGCGAUUGGAUUGCACGUCUAAGCAGUAAGGCUGAGUAUUAGGCAAAUCCGGUACUCGUUAAGGCUGAGCUGUGAUGGGGAGAAGACAUUGUGUCUUCGAGUCGUUGAUUUCACACUGCCGAGAAAAGCCUCUAGAUAGAAAAUAGGUGCCCGUACCGCAAACCGACACAGGUAGUCAAGAUGAGAAUUCUAAGGUGAGCGAGCGAACUCUCGUUAAGGAACUCGGCAAAAUGACCCCGUAACUUCGGGAGAAGGGGUGCUCUUUAGGGUUAACGCCCAGAAGAGCCGCAGUGAAUAGGCCCAAGCGACUGUUUAUCAAAAACACAGGUCUCUGCUAAACCGUAAGGUGAUGUAUAGGGGCUGACGCCUGCCCGGUGCUGGAAGGUUAAGAGGAGUGGUUAGCUUCUGCGAAGCUACGAAUCGAAGCCCCAGUAAACGGCGGCCGUAACUAUAACGGUCCUAAGGUAGCGAAAUUCCUUGUCGGGUAAGUUCCGACCCGCACGAAAGGCGUAACGAUUUGGGCACUGUCUCAACGAGAGACUCGGUGAAAUCAUAGUACCUGUGAAGAUGCAGGUUACCCGCGACAGGACGGAAAGACCCCGUGGAGCUUUACUGUAGCCUGAUAUUGAAAUUCGGCACAGCUUGUACAGGAUAGGUAGGAGCCUUUGAAACGUGAGCGCUAGCUUACGUGGAGGCGCUGGUGGGAUACUACCCUAGCUGUGUUGGCUUUCUAACCCGCACCACUUAUCGUGGUGGGAGACAGUGUCAGGCGGGCAGUUUGACUGGGGCGGUCGCCUCCUAAAAGGUAACGGAGGCGCUCAAAGGUUCCCUCAGAAUGGUUGGAAAUCAUUCAUAGAGUGUAAAGGCAUAAGGGAGCUUGACUGCGAGACCUACAAGUCGAGCAGGGUCGAAAGACGGACUUAGUGAUCCGGUGGUUCCGCAUGGAAGGGCCAUCGCUCAACGGAUAAAAGCUACCCCGGGGAUAACAGGCUUAUCUCCCCCAAGAGUUCACAUCGACGGGGAGGUUUGGCACCUCGAUGUCGGCUCAUCGCAUCCUGGGGCUGUAGUCGGUCCCAAGGGUUGGGCUGUUCGCCCAUUAAAGCGGUACGCGAGCUGGGUUCAGAACGUCGUGAGACAGUUCGGUCCCUAUCCGUCGUGGGCGUAGGAAAUUUGAGAGGAGCUGUCCUUAGUACGAGAGG